CCCACAUUGGAACUGAGACACGGUCCAAACUCCUACGGGAGGCAGCAGUGAGGAAUAUUGGUCAAUGGACGAGAGUCUGAACCAGCCAAGUAGCGUGAAGGAUGACUGCCCUAUGGGUUGUAAACUUCUUUUAUACGGGAAUAAAGUGAGGCACGUGUGCCUUUUUGUAUGUACCGUAUGAAUAAGGAUCGGCUAACUCCGUGCCAGCAGCCGCGGUAAUACGGAGGAUCCGAGCGUUAUCCGGAUUUAUUGGGUUUAAAGGGUGCGUAGGCGGCCUUUUAAGUCAGCGGUGAAAGUCUGUGGCUCAACCAUAGAAUUGCCGUUGAAACUGGGGGGCUUGAGUAUGUUUGAGGCAGGCGGAAUGCGUGGUGUAGCGGUGAAAUGCAUAGAUAUCACGCAGAACCCCGAUUGCGAAGGCAGCCUGCCAAGCCAUGACUGACGCUGAUGCACGAAAG
Molecule: ribosomal RNA, 455 nt
Filed under: Xanthomonas citri pv. citri
Lineage: Bacteria; Pseudomonadati; Pseudomonadota; Gammaproteobacteria; Lysobacterales; Lysobacteraceae
Description: bacterial SSU rRNA
Rfam family: Bacterial small subunit ribosomal RNA
Source: RNAcentral